GCCGGUGUUGCAUAGUGGUUUGAGUGUUGGACUACAACUCUUCAGACCAGGGUUUGAAUCCCAGCUCGGCCA
Non-coding RNA from Phrynosoma platyrhinos (Desert horned lizard), 72 nucleotides. NCBI's taxonomy places the organism in Eukaryota, Metazoa, Chordata, Lepidosauria, Squamata, Phrynosomatidae. The record is from the annotation of a GenBank genome assembly.